AGCAGCCGCGGUAAUUCCAGCUCCAAUAGCGUAUAUUAAAGUUGUUGCAGUUAAAAAGCCCGUAGUUGAAUUUCGGGGUUAGUAGGUUGGUCAUGCCUCUGGUAUGUACUGGUCUCACUGAUUCCUCCUUCCUGAUGAACCUUAAUGCCAUUAAUUUGGUGUUUUGGGGAAUUUGGACUGUUACUUUGAAAAAAUUAGAGUGUUUAAAGCAAGCUAACGCUUGAAUACAUUAGCAUGGAAUAAUGAAAUAGGACGUUCGAUCCUAUUUUGUUGGUUUCUAGGAUUGACGUAAUGAUUAAUAGGGAUAGUUGGGGGCAUUAGUAUUCAAUUGUCAGAGGUGAAAUUCUUGGAUUUAUUGAAGACUAACUACUGCGAAAGCAUUUGCCAAGGAUGUUUUCAUUAAUCAAGAACGAAAGUUAGGGGAUCGAAGACGAUCAGAUACCGUCGUAGUCUUAACCAUAAACUAUGCCGACUAGGGAUCGGAUGAUGUUAAUUUUUUAAUGACUCAUUCGGCGCCUUA
RNAcentral lists this unclassified non-coding RNA (520 nucleotides) under uncultured Glomus. RNAcentral describes it as "SSU rRNA". It matches the Rfam family "Eukaryotic small subunit ribosomal RNA", at positions 569 to 1090 of the family's 1831-position model. The record is from RNAcentral. Lineage: Eukaryota; Fungi; Glomeromycota; Glomeromycetes; Glomerales; Glomeraceae.